Molecule: ribosomal RNA, 429 nt
Filed under: uncultured bacterium
Lineage: Bacteria
Description: bacterial SSU rRNA
Rfam family: Bacterial small subunit ribosomal RNA
Source: RNAcentral
AGAGUUGAUCCUGGCUCAGAACGAACGCUGGCGGCAGGCUUAACACAUGCAAGUCGAGCGCCCCGCAAGGGGAGCGGCAGACGGGUGAGUAACGCGUGGGAAUCUACCCAGCUCUACGGAAUAACUCAGGGAAACUUGUGCUAAUACCGUAUACGUCCGAUAGGAGAAAGAUUUAUCGGAGUUGGAUGAGCCCGCGUUGGAUUAGCUAGUUGGUGGGGUAAUGGCCUACCAAGGCGACGAUCCAUAGCUGGUCUGAGAAGAUGAUCAGCCACACUGGGACUGAGACACGGCCCAGACUCCUACGGGAGGCAGCAGUGGGGAAUAUUGGACAAUGGGCGAAAGCCUGAUCCAGCCAUGCCGCGUGAGUGAUGAAGGCCCUAGGGUUGUAAAGCUCUUUCAACGGUGAAGAUAAUGACGGAACCGAGAGAG